AACGAACGCUGGCGGCAGGCCUAACACAUGCAAGUCGAACGCCCCAGCAAUAGGGAGUGGCAGACGGGUGAGUAACGCGUGGGAACGUGCCUUUCGGUUCGGAAUAACUCAGGGAAACUUGAGCUAAUACCGGAUACGCCCUUCGGGGGAAAGAUUUAUUGCCGAAAGAUCGGCCCGCGUCCGAUUAGCUAGUUGGUGAGGUAAAGGCUCACCAAGGCGACGAUCGGUAGCUGGUCUGAGAGGAUGAUCAGCCACACUGGGACUGAGACACGGCCCAGACUCCUACGGGAGGCAGCAGUGGGGAAUAUUGGACAAUGGGCGCAAGCCUGAUCCAGCCAUGCCGCGUGAGUGAUGAAGGCCCUAGGGUUGUAAAGCUCUUUCGCCAGGGACGAUAAUGACGGUACCUGGAUAAGAAGCCCCGGCUAACUUCGUGCCAGCAGCCGCGGUAA
This 449-nucleotide ribosomal RNA is filed under the name uncultured bacterium. Its description in RNAcentral is "partial 16S ribosomal RNA". It matches the Rfam family "Bacterial small subunit ribosomal RNA", at positions 29 to 523 of the family's 1533-position model. The record is from RNAcentral.